Non-coding RNA from Schizosaccharomyces pombe (fission yeast), 2225 nucleotides. Lineage: Eukaryota; Fungi; Ascomycota; Schizosaccharomycetes; Schizosaccharomycetales; Schizosaccharomycetaceae. The record is from the annotation of a GenBank genome assembly.
UUACCAAACUUUUUACCACCUAUUUGCGUCAAUUUGACUCACUUUGAUAACAAAGUAAAGAUGCUAUAAUUUACAUGAAUGUGUAAAAUACAUAAUUAGUUAACCGAUGACUUACGUUGUCGAAUAGUUGAAAACAUAUAUAUAUUAUUUUGGAAACAGACUAAAACAUAUAAAUAUAUAUAUAUAUUUUUUCAAAGAUUACUAGCUUUUCAUUGAUUGAGGUUGUGAUUGCUUCAAAUGUUUGCAAUCUCACUCGCCAUACUCACUUGGGUUUAUCAUGCAUACAUUACCGAUCUACCUUUGAUGGUGCUAUCUUCUCGCUCACUCACGGACAAUCAGAGCUGAAUUAGCUUAGAAUAACAAUGUUGCCGAAUAAAUCGAUUACAGUUACCGUAUGAACAUUACAUCAAGUGCGGCAACAAAGGAGACGGAAAGUUUAAACUUAGUGAAUUGAUGUCGAUGAUGUCAGUCAAUAUAGUUACACAUUUCAGCGUAUUAACAAGAAUUUAUCAGUCCGCUUGCAUUUUCAACAGCUUGCAAUAUUGCACCUAAUAAAUUCUCUGUAACUCUCAAAAAUACUAGCACUUUAAGUAUAAACGUUGUUAAAGUUUAAAUUUUGUUUUAUUUUACACUGAAGUAAAUAUUUAUCCUACUGAAUAUGCAGCUCAAAGCGAUAAAACAGUACAGCUUUUACGUCCGAUGUGAUUCAUAAGUUAGCAAUGUAAAAAGGGCCGAUUUAGCAGUCGCCUUGCAUAAGCAUGUUUGCAUCAGUAUCUGCAAAGCAGUAUACAUGUCGAUUUAGAUCAGCAAAAAUCAACAAAGUAAAGUAAUAGUAAGCAUUUUAUCAAAUAUGUUUGCUUGAUGAAAUAACACACUUUGACAUUGCUAUGGACGCUAGUAAUAUAUAUCCUCAAUUAUAAAGCGACAAUCAAUAAACGAUUUCUGUCCCUUCUGUUAAAUUCUCGUGUAUGUUUUGAAAAGUUAUUAAGUAAAAGUCCAUAAAUAUUUGUGCCCACAAUAAAAUCUCAAAACAUCAAUAUUCACGCCUAAAUUUCAUAAAUUUGAAAUUUAAAAAGUAAAAACACCUCCAAAAAAAAAGCAACAUAGACGAGAGACUGCGCAAAGUAAAAUUUGGCGACUAAACCGAAAGCCUCGAUAUCAUCUAUAUUUAAUGACUACUUAAGUUGAGAAUAGUAUUCGAUUUUUUACACUUUUAAAGGAGGACGAAAUGUGACAUUAUGUUCAUUUUUCUUGUUUGUUAAACUCCAUAACCACCACCAUGCUCUUUUGUUUUAAAAUAACAUUGACAAAAAUCAUUUUCUAACGCAUAUUUGGAAAUCAUAAACACCAAUCUAUAAUUGCUUUAGUUUUUGAGAAGCAUAACUAAAUCAUCCUCUCAAAUACAAGGAUACUAUUUUGGACAGAAUGGAUGGAUAUUGACAGUUCAAAUCGUUGCGAUACUUUUUAUUCUUAUAAUAUGGAAUUACAAAUACCGUGAUUAGCCUUACUCCGCAUUAGGGUACUGAAAACAUCUAAACCCAUCCUACUCUAUCUUGCGGUGACUGCUUAUCUUUUGCAACCCACAUAUCGGUUUUCAUUGUGUAUCAUCUUCCUGGAUAUCCUUUGUAAUAGUUUAAUCGUAGUAGAUAAACAAGCAAUGAGUAAGAAAAAAAAUGUAGUACGACGAUGAUGUGUUUUCUCAAGAUGAUAACGGAUCUAGCUUCGCCAUCAAUAAGUAUGAGACAAAGGAGUCCAUCUUUGAUGAAACAUCCAUUUGCCUGUUGUACAUUUUUGCAGGACAACCAGCCUGAGCACAAGAGACAUGGUGUACUAGACUUUGUGCGGAAUGUCUACUUCAAAACUCGCAUCUUUAUAUCUGAUAUAUAGAGAUAUAGAGAUAUAGAGAGAGGCUGAUGAUUUAUAAACACAAACGAUAAGACUUGUAACAUGAAGUUUAUCGAAAAAGUCAAUCUUUAAAUUCCUUUCUGAACCUCUCUGUUAUGUCAGUGCUUCGGUACCAUGCUUUUAGUGCGGUCAUUUAAAGGCAUAGCGAUGAUAGUUCUAAAGUUACUGUAUUGAUCAAUUGGAAGAACAUCCAAAUAAAAAAAAGUAUGCAAAAUGCUAGUAUUAUCAGUAACUGCAAAUAAAAAAAAGAUAACAAAAAUUUACAGGAUCAUCGAGAAGAGUAGAUACUGAUAAUAUUGAGAUCCACAGCACUCAACAAC